Molecule: transfer RNA, 75 nt
Filed under: Acidobacteriota bacterium
Lineage: Bacteria; Pseudomonadati; Acidobacteriota
Description: tRNA-Cys
Rfam family: tRNA
About the family: Transfer RNA (tRNA) molecules are approximately 80 nucleotides in length. Their secondary structure includes four short double-helical elements and three loops (D, anti-codon, and T loops). Further hydrogen bonds mediate the characteristic L-shaped molecular structure. tRNAs have two regions of fundamental functional importance: the anti-codon, which is responsible for specific mRNA codon recognition, and the 3' end, to which the tRNAs corresponding amino acid is attached (by aminoacyl-tRNA synthetases). tRNAs cope with the degeneracy of the genetic code in two manners: having more than one tRNA (with a specific anti-codon) for a particular amino acid; and 'wobble' base-pairing, i.e. permitting non-standard base-pairing at the 3rd anti-codon position.
Source: RNAcentral
GGCGCGGUAGCCAAGUGGUAAGGCCAGGGUCUGCAAAACCCUCACUCGUCGGUUCGAUUCCGACCCGCGCCUCCA